UAUUCGGAAUCACUGGGCGUAAAGGGCGNGUAGGGCGCCUGGUAAGUCAGGGGUGAAAUCCCACGGCUCAACCGUGGAAUUGCCUUUGAAACUGCUGGGCUUGGAUCCUGGAGAGGGUGGCGGAAUUCCUGGUGUAGGAGUGAAAUCCGUAGAUAUCAGGAGGAACACCGGUGGCGAAGGCGGCCACCUGGACAGGUAUCGACGCUGAGGCGCGAAAGUGUGGGGAGCAAACAGGAUUAGAUACCCUGGUAGUCCACACCGUAAACGAUGGAUACUAGGUGUUGGGGGCAUGACCCUCAGUGCCGGAGCUAACGCGUUAAGUAUCCCGCCUGGGGAGUACGGUCGCAAGGCUGAAACUCAAAGAAAUUGACGGGGGCCCGCACAAGCGGUGGAGUAUGUGGUUUAAUUCGAUGCAACGCGAAGAACCUUACCUGGGCUUGACAUCCUGGGAAUCCUGCAGAGAUGCGGGAGUGCCCUUCGGGGAAACCAGAGACAGGUGCUGCAUGGCUAUCGUCAACUCGUGCCGUGAGUGUUUGGGUUAAGUCCCGCAACGAGCGCAACCCUUGUUCCUAGUUGCCAUCAAGUGAAGCUGGGCACUCUAAGGAGACUGCCCGGGUCAACCGGAGGAAGGUGGGGACGACGUCAAGUCAUCAUGGCCUUACGCCAAGGGCUACACACGUACUACAAUGGCGAGUACAAAGGCAGCGAUACG
Molecule: ribosomal RNA, 712 nt
Filed under: uncultured bacterium
Lineage: Bacteria
Description: bacterial SSU rRNA
Rfam family: Bacterial small subunit ribosomal RNA
Source: RNAcentral